This 73-nucleotide transfer RNA is filed under the name Candidatus Zhuqueibacterota bacterium. RNAcentral describes it as "candidate division KSB1 bacterium tRNA-Lys". It matches the Rfam family "tRNA". From Rfam's summary of the family: Transfer RNA (tRNA) molecules are approximately 80 nucleotides in length. The record is from RNAcentral. Lineage: Bacteria; Pseudomonadati.
GGGCCUGUAGCUCAGCCGGUAGAGCAGCGGCCUUUUAAGCCGUUGGUCGCAGGUUCGAUUCCUGCCAGGCUCA